This 468-nucleotide ribosomal RNA is filed under the name uncultured bacterium. RNAcentral's name for it is "partial 16S ribosomal RNA". It matches the Rfam family "Bacterial small subunit ribosomal RNA", at positions 28 to 507 of the family's 1533-position model. The record is from RNAcentral.
GAUGAACGCUGGCGGCGUGCUUAACACAUGCAAGUCGAACGGAAAGGCCGAAGCUUGCUUCGGUACUCGAGUGGCGAACGGGUGAGUAACACGUGGGUGAUCUGCCCUGUACUUCGGGAUAAGCUUGGGAAACUGGGUCUAAUACCGGAUAUGACGAUCUCUUGGAUGGGGUUGUGGAAAGCUUUUGCGGUAUGGGAUGAGCUCGCGGCCUAUCAGCUUGUUGGUGGGGUAAUGGCCUACCAAGGCGUCGACGGGUAGCCGGCCUGAGAGGGUGUACGGCCACAUUGGGACUGAGAUACGGCCCAGACUCCUACGGGAGGCAGCAGUGGGGAAUAUUGCACAAUGGGCGCAAGCCUGAUGCAGCGACGCCGCGUGGGGGAUGACGGCCUUCGGGUUGUAAACUCCUUCCGCAAUCGACGAAGCCUUUUGGUGACGGUAGGUUGAGAAGAAGCACCGGCUAACUACGUG